Molecule: ribosomal RNA, 467 nt
Filed under: uncultured bacterium
Lineage: Bacteria
Description: partial 16S ribosomal RNA
Rfam family: Bacterial small subunit ribosomal RNA
Source: RNAcentral
ACGAACGCUGGCGGCUUGCUUCACCCCUGCCAGUCGCACGGAAAGGCCCUGCUUUUGUGGGGUGCUCGAGUGGCGAACGGGUGAGUAACACGUGAGUAACCUGCCCUUGACUUUUGGAUAACUUCAGGAAACUGGGGCUAAUACCGGAUAGGAGCUCCUGCUGCAUGGUGGGGGUUGGAAAGUUUCGGCGGUUGGGGAUGGACUCGCGGCUUAUCGGCUUGUUGGUGGGGUAGUGGCUUACCAAGGCUUUGACGGGUAGCCGGCCUGAGAGGGUGACCAGCGACAUUGGGACUGAGAUACGGAGCAGACGCGUACGGGAGGCAGCAGUGGGGAAUAUUGCACAAUGGGAGGAAGCCUGAUGAAGCAACGCCGCGGGCGGGAUGACGGCUUUCGGGUUGUAAACAGCUGUAGCCUGUGACGAAGCGUGAGUGACGGUAAUGGGUAAAGAAGCACCGGCUAACUACGUG